CGAAAUCAUCAUAGGUUUGUGUCAAAAAUUUCUUAAAAAUACUAAAGGUCUCAGUAACAAAAGAAAUAAUUUAAAAAUUUGCAUAAAAGGAUAAGAAACAAGAAAAAUAAAUCAGUACGGAUAGGCAUCCUCCCCUAGACUUAAACCACACUGUCUCCAGUGUGUAAAAGUCGGUGAAAAGAUGAUGAAUAAAAGCAAAAAAGUCUAAAAUAAAAGAAAAUAAAGGAAAAGAAAAUUAUAUUAGAACCGUAGUAAUUACGAGAUGAUGAAUGGACGCAGGCUUAUGUCUCUCGGCUUCUAUCAGUCUCUGUGGCAGAUGAAUCGUUAUUGAAUUGGUGGUUCUUCUUCAGGAACCGCUUCAUGCGCCUGUUAAGUUUCUCAUGCUGCUCUAUCUUCCUCUCCAAAGCUGCGAAAUCUGCAUCACUCUUGGUGGAUGACCUGGGGCGAGAUUAUCUAGAUCUGAUGGGCAUUGGUGCAGGUUGGAGUCUUCUGCGAGUCUCAGCUGCAUCCCUCUUUGCUUUCGCAGCCAGGAACUGACUCACAGUCAAUGGAAGAAGUGGAACAGAUGGUAAGAAGUCUUGUGUACCUGGUCUCCAUUCAGGGUUUGCGCCAUCUCUGAGUCUAGGGACUGAGUCUGAUGGUAAGAGAACUCUGAAAUCAGAUGUGUCAGUGCAGAACUUAUAGGCGUAUCCAAUAGUUCCAUGCUUGUCCUGGAUAUGGUUCUGUCUCUGGAGAGCUGAGAUAGGUCAAACCAGUCUUCACGAAGAGGGGUCUCGGCUGAUAGAUCAACUCCUGAUGCAAGCAUAAUCGCAGUGAUGAUGCUUCCAAAGGCUGGUGAGGUGUCUUGGCAAUCAGACUUGAGAACUUCAU
This 870-nucleotide long non-coding RNA is filed under the name Eutrema salsugineum. RNAcentral's name for it is "long non-coding RNA (ESAL_LNC000134)". Lineage: Eukaryota; Viridiplantae; Streptophyta; Magnoliopsida; Brassicales; Brassicaceae. The record is from RNAcentral.